AUUGAACGCUAGCGGGAUGCUUUACACAUGCAAGUCGAACGGGGUGGCGGACGGGUGAGUAAUAUAUCGGAAAGUUCCCAGUUGCGGGGGAUAAAUUCUUGAAAGAGUGGCUAAUACCGCCUACCUAUUGAGCGGGCCAUAUCGGAUUAGCUAGUUGGGGGGGUAAAGGCUCACCAAGGCAACGAUCCGUAGCUGGUUUGAGAGGACGACCAGCCACACUGGGACUGAGACACGGCCCAGACUCCUACGGGAGGCAGCAGUGGGGAAUUUUGGACAAUGGGGGAAACCCUGAUCCAGCCAUCCCGCGUGUAUGAUGAAGGCCUUCGGGUUGUAAAGUACUUUUGGCAGAGAAGCGGUAUCUGCAGAAUAAGCACCGGCUAACUACGUGCCAGCAGCCGCGGUAAUAC
RNAcentral lists this ribosomal RNA (407 nucleotides) under uncultured bacterium. RNAcentral's name for it is "partial 16S ribosomal RNA". It matches the Rfam family "Bacterial small subunit ribosomal RNA", at positions 30 to 526 of the family's 1533-position model. The record is from RNAcentral.